Caenorhabditis elegans is the source of this 127-nucleotide non-coding RNA. NCBI's taxonomy places the organism in Eukaryota, Metazoa, Nematoda, Chromadorea, Rhabditida, Rhabditidae. The record is from Ensembl.
GAAAGAAGAAGGGAAGAUGGGGAAGAGGUUCACGAGAUUGGGCGCCGACGAGAGGUGCACAGACAACUGUGGGUGGGCGGGUCUAACACCGCUUGGCCAAUCAUCGCGCGCCUUCCAGGGCGUGGCU